GGGGAUAUGGCGAAAUCGGUAGACGCUACGGACUUAAAAUCCGUCGACUUUAUAAG
RNAcentral lists this transfer RNA (56 nucleotides) under Triticum aestivum (bread wheat). Its description in RNAcentral is "partial tRNA-Leu". RNAcentral also lists the same sequence under 1 other name. Lineage: Eukaryota; Viridiplantae; Streptophyta; Magnoliopsida; Poales; Poaceae. The record is from RNAcentral.